GAUGAACGCUAGCGGCAGGCUUAAUACAUGCAAGUCGUGGGGCAGCAGGUUUGUAGCAAUACAGAUGCUGGCGACCGGCAAACGGGUGCGUAACACGUACGCAACUUACCCAUUACUGGUGAAUAGCCCAGGGAAACUUGGAUUAAUACACCAUAACAUAUAGAGAAGGCAUCUUUUUUAUAUUAAAGCUUCGGCGGUAGUGGAUGGGCGUGCGGUUGAUUAGAUAGUUGGCGGGGUAACGGCCCACCAAGUCUACGAUCAAUAGCUGAUGUGAGAGCAUGAUCAGCCACACGGGCACUGAGACACGGGCCCGACUCCUACGGGAGGCAGCAGUAAGGAAUAUUGGGCAAUGGACGAAAGUCUGACCCAGCCAUGCCGCGUGAAGGAUGAAGGUCCUCUGGAUUGUAAACUUCUUUUAUCUGGGGCGAAAACCUCCCUUUCUAGGGGGCUUGACAGUACCAGUAGAAUAAGCACCGGCUAACUCCGUG
RNAcentral lists this ribosomal RNA (488 nucleotides) under uncultured bacterium. RNAcentral describes it as "bacterial SSU rRNA". It matches the Rfam family "Bacterial small subunit ribosomal RNA", at positions 28 to 507 of the family's 1533-position model. The record is from RNAcentral.